Molecule: ribosomal RNA, 253 nt
Filed under: uncultured bacterium
Lineage: Bacteria
Description: partial 16S ribosomal RNA
Rfam family: Bacterial small subunit ribosomal RNA
Source: RNAcentral
UACGAAGGGGGCUAGCGUUGUUCGGAAUUACUGGGCGUAAAGCGCGCGCAGGCGGCUCUUCAAGUCAGGGGUGAAAGCCCAGAGCUCAACUCUGGAACUGCCUUUGAGACUGAAGAGCUUGAGUACGGGAGAGGUGAGUGGAACUGCGAGUGUAGAGGUGAAAUUCGUAGAUAUUCGCAAGAACACCAGUGGCGAAGGCGGCUCACUGGCCCGAUACUGACGCUGAGGCACGAAAGCGUGGGGAGCAAACAGG